RNAcentral lists this ribosomal RNA (253 nucleotides) under uncultured bacterium. Its description in RNAcentral is "partial 16S ribosomal RNA". It matches the Rfam family "Bacterial small subunit ribosomal RNA", at positions 524 to 776 of the family's 1533-position model. The record is from RNAcentral.
GACAGAGGGUGCAAGCGUUGUUCGGAAUUAUUGGGCGUAAAGCGCGCGUAGGCGGUCGAGCAAGUCGAAUGUGAAAGCCCACGGCUUAACCGUGGAAGUGCAUUCGAAACUACUCAACUUGAGUUUCGGAGAGGGUGGCGGAAUUCCCAGUGUAGCAGUGAAAUGCGUAGAGAUGUGGAGGAAUACCAAUGGCGAAGGCAGCCUCCUGGCCUAAUACUGACGCUCAUGCUCGAAAGCGUGGGGAGCAAACAGG